AUGGAAGCCGCCGACGCGAGCUCCCAGGCAUGCGUCUACGACGCCCUCCCGGGUCUUACCCUGGACUUCUCCCCGGAGGAGGACCUCGACGCGCCCGAGCCCCGGUCCUCCUCCUACCCUGCCGCCGCGGAGGAGGACUCGACCGCGACAUAUGCCGUCUUCCGGAACGAGAUUACGGCUGCCGGGGACCCCCUUGUCGACAUCCCCGCCGCCGAUUUCUUCUCCCUUGACGUCUCGGGGGCCGUCAGGGGCGAGCCGGCCUCCCCGUCGUCGGUGGCGGCGCGGCCUGCCGCGGCGGCGACGCCCUCGAGCUCCCUCGCCCCGACGGAGCAGCCGGCGCAGGGGUCGGAGCGCGCGUGGUUCCGAGGAGGGAGGCGGUUCAGGAGCCCCAUGCUGCAGCUACACAAAGAGAUUCUCGACUUCUGUGAUUUUAUCUCACCUUCUGCCGAAGAGCAAUCUUCACGAACAGCUGCUGUGCAAGCUGUCUCUGAUGUUGUCAAGCAUAUAUGGCCUCAUUGCAAGGUGGAAGUCUUUGGAUCUUUCAGAACAGGGCUCUAUCUACCAACAAGUGAUAUUGAUGUUGUAGUAUUUGAGACCAGGGCUAAGACUCCUCAAGGCCUAUAUGCUCUUGCGAAAGCAUUAUCUCAAAAAGGUGUUGCCAAAAAGAUACAGGUAAUAGCAAAGGCACGUGUGCCAAUCGUGAAAUUCGUGGAAAGAAUUAGUGGAAUACCUUUUGACAUCAGCUUUGAUAUUGAUGGUGGACCACAAGCAGCGGACUUCAUCAAGGAUGCCAUCAAGAAGAUGCCUGCUUUAAGACCUUUGUGUAUGAUUCUGAAGGUUUUCCUUCAUCAAAGAGAGCUCAAUGAGGUCUAUACUGGUGGGGUUGGAUCAUAUGCUCUUCUCACAAUGCUGAUCACACAUUUACAGUUGAUCUGGGGAGUGAAAGAUAUGCUGGGCUAUCGACAAUCCAAGGAACACAAUUUGGGAAUUCUUUUGAUCAAGUUUUUUGACUUUUAUGGACGCAAGUUGAACUAUACGGAUGUUGGAAUAUCCUGCAACUCUGCAAGAACCUUUUUCUUGAAAAGUGAUAAAGACUUUGUGAAUCUUGACCGGCCACAUCUUAUAGCCAUUCAAGAUCCAAUGGUACCAGAUAAUGAUAUUGGGAAGAAUUCCUUCAACUACUUCAAGGUGAAAUCAGCAUUUUUGAAGGCUUAUUCUGUGUUAACUGAUGGCAAGUUGAUUACUAGCUUGGGACCAAACAGGAGCAUUCUGGGCACCAUUGUCAGACCGGAUUCGGUGCUCCUCGACCGUAAAGGCUGGAACACUGAUGGUGUGUUGGCUGACAUGUUAGCAGAACCCUGGGAACUGUUGCCCCAACCGUUUGACAGUGAGAAUGACGCAUUGUAUAACUGGCACGCGUUAGACGACGAUGAACCACUGCCCAGAAACACUCAACCUGCAUCCGAGGACACUAGUUCGUCACCACUGGGGAAACGCAAGUCCUCCUCCAAGUCAAAAAAGAAAUCACGAAAGAAGGCAAAGGCCGAUGCAUCAAGCAGUGAUGAUACCGAAGAGGGGUCCGGAAAGGGAAGAGAGCACGGCCGGGGCAAAGGGUCAGCACAUAGUGAAAAGUCGCGUCGCAGUGGGGGAAGCAGCAGAAGAAGGAAAGGGGCGCGAGAGUAUGACAGAUUUACAAACACGCUCCCACAGUACACGCACAUUAGCAGAUGGUGA
This 1734-nucleotide ribosomal RNA is filed under the name Triticum aestivum (bread wheat). Its description in RNAcentral is "partial small subunit ribosomal RNA". The record is from RNAcentral. Lineage: Eukaryota; Viridiplantae; Streptophyta; Magnoliopsida; Poales; Poaceae.